GGAGCCACAUGCUAUAUCCGGUUUGGAGCUGCACUCCUGGAUCUGAGAUCUACAAGAAGAGGCAGAAUAACACAGAGUCAACACACAGUUGUCUCCUGUAGGUCCUUGAAAGAUGGAUUUGUGCAGUUUGCCCUGAAGAGAAGAACAAAUGAUGGAGAAAACAUGAUUUUAGGAUCAACUGUCCCACUGUUGAUGAGUUAUAAAAGCUGUCCAGUGCCUGGAGAGUCUUACCACUGCUGCUCUCCUUUCCACACCAGGUCAAGCCGUCCAGGACAGAUCCCAGCAGAGAGUCCUCCAGGGCAGGUUGGAAGGGAGCUGAGGCAAUGAGAGGGUCAUAUGCUUCCGUGGGAACUUUGCAUGGGUCUUUCCCUACAUAGGCUUGUUCAAAGACCUUCCAUAUCUUUUGACAGUCGUAGGAAUGUGGAUCGAGUGUAUCACCAAACUGGUGCAGGCUGUCGAGAUUACAGAUUUUUCCAGAAUCGGACCAUGUGAGGGUCCUCAUGAUGAAGUUAAAGACAAGUGUAAACACAUGCAGAGGGAUUUUUCACAACCUGGCAACCCCAAAGGAUCUACCGGGGUCCUGCUCUUGUCCACACCAGAUGAGGUCAUUGAACAUGAAGCCGACCAGUGUGUCCUCCAGAGUCCAGAAGUGACGACCAACAGCUGCGUAGCUGUGCAUCAAUGCCCUGGUUUUACUCCAG
Molecule: long non-coding RNA, 701 nt
Organism: Toxotes jaculatrix (banded archerfish)
Lineage: Eukaryota; Metazoa; Chordata; Actinopteri; Toxotidae
Exons: 6
Source: RefSeq, a predicted model, not a curated record